This 513-nucleotide ribosomal RNA is filed under the name uncultured bacterium. RNAcentral's name for it is "partial 16S ribosomal RNA". It matches the Rfam family "Bacterial small subunit ribosomal RNA", at positions 28 to 523 of the family's 1533-position model. The record is from RNAcentral.
GAUGAACGCUGGCGGCGUGCCUAAUACAUGCAAGUCGAACGCGCAGCGAGAGGUGCUUGCACCUUUCAAGCGAGUGGCGAACGGGUGAGUAACACGUGGAUAACCUGCCUCAAGGCUGGGGAUAACAUUUGGAAACAGAUGCUAAUACCGAAUAAAACUUAGUAUCGCAUGAUAUCAAGUUAAAAGGCGCUACGGCGUCACCUAGAGAUGGAUCCGCGGUGCAUUAGUUAGUUGGUGGGGUAAAGGCUUACCAAGACGAUGAUGCAUAGCCGAGUUGAGAGACUGAUCGGCCACAUUGGGACUGAGACACGGCCCAAACUCCUACGGGAGGCUGCAGUAGGGAAUCUUCCACAAUGGGCGCAAGCCUGAUGGAGCAACGCCGCGUGUGUGAUGGAGGCUUACGGGUCGUAAAGCACUGUUGUAUGGGAAGAAAUGCUAAAAUAGGGAAUGAUUUUAGUUUGACGGUACCAUACCAGAAAGGGACGGCUAAAUACGUGCCAGCAGCCGCAGUAA